GACGAACGCUGGCGGCGUGCUUAACACAUGCAAGUCGAGCGGUAAGGCCCUUUCGGGGGUACACGAGCGGCGAACGGGUGAGUAACACGUGGGUGACCUGCCCUCAGCUCUGGGAUAAGCCUGGGAAACUGGGUCUAAUACUGGAUAUGACUCCACGGUGCAUGUCGUGGGGUGGAAAGCCUUGUGCGGCUGAGGAUGGGCCCGCGGCCUAUCAGCUUGUUGGUGGGGUGANGGCCUACCAAAGGCGACGACGGGUAGCCGGCCUGAGAGGGCGACCGGCCACACUGGGACUGAGACACGGCCCAGACUCCUACGGGAGGCAGCAGUGGGGAAUCUUGCGCAAUGGGCGAAAAGCCUGACGCAGCGACGCCGCGUGAGGGAUGACGGCCU
RNAcentral lists this ribosomal RNA (390 nucleotides) under uncultured bacterium. Its description in RNAcentral is "bacterial SSU rRNA". It matches the Rfam family "Bacterial small subunit ribosomal RNA", at positions 28 to 417 of the family's 1533-position model. The record is from RNAcentral.